RNAcentral lists this ribosomal RNA (241 nucleotides) under Kosakonia radicincitans. Its description in RNAcentral is "16S rRNA. Bacterial SSU". It matches the Rfam family "Bacterial small subunit ribosomal RNA", at positions 1 to 238 of the family's 1533-position model. Lineage: Bacteria; Pseudomonadati; Pseudomonadota; Gammaproteobacteria; Enterobacterales; Enterobacteriaceae. The record is from RNAcentral.
UUAAAUUGAAGAGUUUGAUCAUGGCUCAGAUUGAACGCUGGCGGCAGGCCUAACACAUGCAAGUCGAACGGUAGCACAGAGAGCUUGCUCUCGGGUGACGAGUGGCGGACGGGUGAGUAAUGUCUGGGAAACUGCCUGAUGGAGGGGGAUAACUACUGGAAACGGUAGCUAAUACCGCAUAACGUCGCAAGACCAAAGAGGGGGACCUUCGGGCCUCUUGCCAUCAGAUGUGCCCAGAUGG